Molecule: ribosomal RNA, 478 nt
Filed under: uncultured bacterium
Lineage: Bacteria
Description: partial 16S ribosomal RNA
Rfam family: Bacterial small subunit ribosomal RNA
Source: RNAcentral
GAUGAACGCUGGCGGCGUGCUUAACACAUGCAAGUCGAACGAGAAGUGAAGACGGAAACCUUCGGGCGGAAGGCUUUAUUUCGAGUAGCGGACGGUUGAGUAACGCGUGGGUAACCUGCCUCAUACAGGGGGAUAACAGUUGGAAACGACUGUUAAUACCGCAUAAGACCACAGCACCGCAUGGUGCGGGGGUAAAAACUCCGGUGGUAUGAGAUGGACCCGCGUUCGAUUAGCCAGUUGGCGGGGUAACGGCACACCAAAGCGACGAUCGAUAGCCGAACUGAGAGGAUGACCGGCCACAUUGGGACUGGGACAAGGCCCAAACUCCUAGGGGCGGCAGCAGUGGGGAAUAUUGGACAAUAGGGGAAACCCUGAAGCAGCGACGCCGCGUGAGUGAAGAAGUAGUUCGGUAUGUAAAGCUCUAUCAGCAGGGAAGAAAAUGACGGUACCUGAGUAAGAAGCCCCGGCUAACUACGUG